RNAcentral lists this unclassified non-coding RNA (379 nucleotides) under soil metagenome. RNAcentral describes it as "partial contains 5.8S ribosomal RNA, internal transcribed spacer 2, and large subunit ribosomal RNA". The stretch from base 1 to 120 matches the Rfam family "5.8S ribosomal RNA", at positions 35 to 154 of the family's 154-position model. The record is from RNAcentral.
GAUGAAGAACGCAGCGAAAUGCGAUAAGUAAUGUGAAUUGCAGAAUUCAGUGAAUCAUCGAAUCUUUGAACGCACCUUGCACCCUUUGGCAUUCCGAAGGGUAUGCUCGUUUGAGUGUCAUUGUACUCUCACACUUCCAACCUUUGGAUUGGGAGCAGUGGACUUGGGUGUUGCUGCUUACUGUGGCUCACCUCAAAUCGAUUCGUGCACCUCUUGGUUGGACAUAGUACGGCGUGAUAAGUGUCUUCGCCGGCACCUCAGUAGAGGGUGGCUGAUCAGGAGCUCUGUGCUUCAAACCGUCCUCGGACAAAAACUGACAACUUGACCUCAAAUCGAGUAGGACUACCCGCUGAACUUAAGCAUAUCAAUAAGCGGAGGA